RNAcentral lists this ribosomal RNA (1130 nucleotides) under Exophiala sp. Its description in RNAcentral is "SSU rRNA". It matches the Rfam family "Eukaryotic small subunit ribosomal RNA", at positions 20 to 1162 of the family's 1831-position model. The record is from RNAcentral. Lineage: Eukaryota; Fungi; Ascomycota; Eurotiomycetes; Chaetothyriales; Herpotrichiellaceae.
GUAGUCAUAUGCUUGUCUCAAAGAUUAAGCCAUGCAUGUCUAAGUAUAAGCAAUCAUACUGUGAAACUGCGAAUGGCUCAUUAAAUCAGUUAUCGUUUAUUUGAUAGUACCUUUACCUGGAUAACCGUGGUAAUUCUAGAGCUAAUACAUGCUAAAAACCUCGACUUCGGAAGGGGUGUAUUUAUUAGAUAAAAAACCAAUGCCCUUCGGGGCUCCUUGGUGAUUCAUAAUAACUUAACGAAUCGCAUGGCCUUGCGCCGUCGAUGGUUCAUUCAAAUUUCUGCCCUAUCAACUUUCGAUGGUAAGAUAGUGGCUUACCAUGGUCUCAACGGGUAACGGGGAAUUAGGGUUCUAUUCCGGAGAGGGAGCCUGAGAAACGGCUACCACAUCCAAGGAAGGCAGCAGGCGCGCAAAUUACCCAAUCCCAAUUCGGGGAGGUAGUGACAAUAAAUACUGAUACGGGGCUCUUUCGGGUCUCGUAAUUGGAAUGAGUACAAUCUAAAUCCCUUAACGAGGAACAAUUGGAGGGCAAGUCUGGUGCCAGCAGCCGCGGUAAUUCCAGCUCCAAUAGCGUAUAUUAAAGUUGUUGCCGUUAAAAAGCUCGUAGUUGAACCUUGGACCUGGCUGAUCUGUCCUCCUAAUCGAGCGCACGGAUUCGGUCGGGUCUUUCCUUCUGGGGAGCCCUAUGCCCUUCACUGGGUGUAGUGGGGAACCAGGACUUUUACCUUGAAAAAAUUAGAGUGUUCAAAGCAGGCCUUUGCUCGAAUACAUUAGCAUGGAAUAAUAGAAUAGGACAUCGGUUCUAUUUUGUUGGUUUCUAGGACCGCUGUAAUGAUUAAUAGGGAUAGUCGGGGGCGUCAGUAUUCAAUUGUCAGAGGUGAAAUUCUUGGAUUUAUUGAAGACUAACUACUGCGAAAGCAUUCGCCAAGGAUGUUUUCAUUAAUCAGUGAACGAAAGUUAGGGGAUCGAAGACGAUCAGAUACCGUCGUAGUCUUAACCAUAAACUAUGCCGACUAGGGAUCGGACGGUGGUUUUUUUAUGCCCCGUUCGGCACCUUACGAGAAAUCAAAGUUUUUGGGCUCGGGGGGGAGUAUGGUCGCAAGGCUGAAACUUAAAGGAAUUGACGGAAG